GUGUCAGCAGCCGCGGUAAUACCAGCUCUCCGAGUGGUGGGGACGUUUAUUGGGCCUAAAGCAUCCGUAGCCAGCUGAGCAAGUCCCCAGUUAAAUCCAGCGAUUUAAUCGUUGGACUGCUGGGGAUACUGUCCGGCUAGGGGGUGGGAGAGGCCGACGGUAUUCCCGGGGUAGGGGUGAAAUCCUAUAAUCCCGGGAGGACCACCAGUGGCGAAGGCUGUUGGCUAAAACAUGCCCGACGGUGAGGGAUGAAAGCUGGGGGAGCGAACCGGAUUAGAUACCCGGGUAGUCCCAGCUGUAAACGAUGCAGGCUAGGUGUUAGGGCGGCCACGUGCCGCUCUAGUGCCGCAGGGAAGCUGUUAAGCCUGCCGCCUGGGGAGUACGGCCGCAAGGCUGAAACUUAAAGGAAUUGACGGGG
Molecule: ribosomal RNA, 418 nt
Filed under: uncultured prokaryote
Description: bacterial SSU rRNA
Rfam family: Archaeal small subunit ribosomal RNA
Source: RNAcentral